UGGUUAUUCUUUGGGAGAUAAUCCUAGAGU
RNAcentral lists this non-coding RNA (30 nucleotides) under Rattus norvegicus (Norway rat). The record is from RNAcentral. Lineage: Eukaryota; Metazoa; Chordata; Mammalia; Rodentia; Muridae.